This 1128-nucleotide long non-coding RNA is filed under the name Felis catus (domestic cat). RNAcentral describes it as "lncRNA (ENSFCAG00000040329.2)". Lineage: Eukaryota; Metazoa; Chordata; Mammalia; Carnivora; Felidae. The record is from RNAcentral.
CCCACAUUGCCUGCCUGUCCCACCCUGGACUGUGCCAUGCACGCCGGCGUGUGGUUCUGGGGGUGUGGGUGGGAGUGGAUGUGUGCCAAGGCCAUCACUUCCUUACACACACACACACACACACACACACACACACACACACGGUCCCAGAGAGCUGUCUCCAUAGACACCAAUGGGGGGCGUGCCCCAGGCCCCCGCCCCCCAUCCUAGGAGUGGGACUCUGGGCCAGCCGGGGUGGGAGCUGGACAGGCAGCCCCUUCACGUGGGGACCCGGCUGGCACCCACUCCAUCGCCCGCGUUACCCCAACCCCACCAGGGAUACUGCCCACCUGCCGUGUUCCCACCCACCUCUGGCCCUUGGGGACUAUUCUGUCUGCAGGACAUGACCUCAAGGAACACAGGCAGCAGAGCAGUAGGGUGAUGACUCUUGGGGCCCCGGCUGGGCUCUGAGCUGGCCCCACCCGGCAGAAGGUACUAGGUGCCCCCACCACUGGUCUGACAUCAGCAUCACCCCGGCCCCCCAGAAGCCACCUAAACCAUCAGCACCACCAUGUCCCUGUCCCCUUAAUGUCGCGUCAUCCUCCUCUGACCAGUGCUCCACCCCGCCAGCCCAGCGCCACCACCAACGUCCUCAGUGCUGUGAUGUCACGCAUCACGGCAGCAGGGACGGGGGGCACACGGCGCGGGUCUGUGGCCAACCCUGCCUUCUCCAGACACACCCCAGACACCACUGUGGCCCGGCUGCCACCCGCCACGCACCCUCCCUGCAGCACCGUGGGCUCUCCCUGUGCCAGGCACCAGGCUCCUCUCAGACCACCCGGAGGCCCUUGUCACCUCCCUGGAGACCACCGACCGCUCCCACAACCGCAUCCUUGCCGCCGAACUGGAAUCUGCUGUUCCGCUCUCUCCCCUGCCCGCAGCGCUCCAGGCCGGGCCAGGCCCCAGAGCGAAAUAACUGGAAAUCGUUGAAGGCGUCACGUGACUUCUAAAGCAUCACCAUGUGAAGUUCAGUCCCCGUCAUGCUUCCCUCUCAGCCGGCCACCAGCAACCACACGUUGACGGGUCUCGGGAGAACCACGGUUCCAGACACCAAGCCCGGGAGCUACCAGAAUGGUUCCACCUCUGAGU